Drosophila pseudoobscura is the source of this 2665-nucleotide long non-coding RNA. RefSeq lists it as uncharacterized. The transcript has 2 exons. NCBI's taxonomy places the organism in Eukaryota, Metazoa, Arthropoda, Insecta, Diptera, Drosophilidae. The record is from RefSeq and is a predicted model, not a curated record.
CCAACUAUCGCUGGGGUGGGACUGGAACACCACCACGAGUAUGUCGUCAGUCCUAGGAGGGACAACAUACGCGUGGGCAUGACCACCGUGUUAAGGACAGGAUUAAGGCCCUACAUUCUUCUGCCGCGCCCAACGUAGGCCACACCCACACCUCACUACAGUCUCCGGUCUUUGGCGUGGUACACUCCUAUGGGACGGCCGUUAAGGACCUCCAAAGCAUACGCGUUCUCUUCUAAUGGCUUCACUACCCGGCAUCGGAUGAACUUUGCAUUAAAGCACUUGCCAAAGUCACUAAGGACGAAAUUUUUGCGGAAUACCUCUUGUCCCGGCGUCGCGUAGAACACCCGAGCUCGCUUGUUAAGACUUACUCUUCUACGUCCCUGAUGUAGACUCGCGCGAAUCCUCUCCUGGAUGAGUGGCCGCUUGUCCUCUCUCUCCAGCAGCGAUAUGUCAUGCUCGCCGAUUGAACGCAGUCGCUUCGCCAGCUUGUAGCAUGACUAAUGGCCAGUUCUAUCUCCGGCAUAUGCGCAUCCAGUCCCGGUGGUCGUCUUCCAGAUACGCCCGAAUCGCGUUCUUUGAUCUCGGAUAUUUGCACAAAAAAUCAAUAUACAGUUUUUGGAACGGGCGCUCGGUGACCACCUCUUUCCCCAUCCCGACCUGCAUCCGAUUAUUCUAUGCUUUCGACUCCUUGCACACGGUACACCGUCGGUUGUAAUCCCGCUUUGUCUAUCAACUCGGAACCCACAGUUUCCAGACGAGUCCUCCCAGUUGAUCGUCGAAUCGCUCAAAGCGUAUGCGCUUGAAUAUCAUGCCAUCAACAAUCUGCAGGUCUGGUGGCAAUUUAGUUUGGCAGAGAAAAAUGCGAUAGGCCUCUCGCUCUGCUUGUCAUCCCGUUGAAAGAGUACGGCUACCCCAUAAUGUGAGGCGUCUCACUGGCGUCUGUAAGUGGAAGGGCUAUCUCAGCAUAGUUCUUCAUAAAGCGCCGAUACCAGCCCGCAGUUCCCAGGAAGUUAUGAAAUUCUCGGACAAAUCGCGGCUCGGGAAUGCGUAAAUGGCCGACACACGAUCCGGAUCCAUCUUCGCCGGAUAUUAACAAAAGUGAGAUUUACUCAGCCCUAUCGUUAGGUUCGCUUCUCGUAGGCGCUCGGCAACCUGUCGCAGAAUCUUCACGUGCGUUUCGAAGUCCUCGGCUAUAAUCAACAAGUCGUCUAGAUACGCAUAGACGUUUGAACGCAUCUCUACCGGAAUGACCUUGUCGACCAGUCCACAUAGGCGUUGUGCAGCGUUGCAGAGGCCAAAGGGCAUCAUACGAAACUGGUAAAAAGGCCGUCCCGGCACCAUGAAUGCCGUAUAUGCUCGACUCUGCUCGUCUAGCUCGAUUUGCCAAAAAGCGAAUUUUAAAUCGACGCUGGAGAUGUAUAUCGUCUGAUCGAGACAAAAUCCCCUCGAUUUUAGGCACCCACUGCCUUGAUGCGUCCUUGAUGGUUACUUUGUUGAGCUUUCGGGCAUCGAGACAAAAAAGAUUUUUGCCCGGCCUUCGCACCACUGUACUUGAUGACUUGUUGAUGACCAACAUUUUUUACACCUCCCCACACUCCACUUCUUGCAUCGCUGGUGACAGCGGGUAAUGUCGAUCCUUUACAGGUUCAGCCUUCUCCACUAACUGAAUUUUAUGAGUCUCUCUCGACGUCCUCUCCAGGCCUACAGCUUUGAAAGUCAGAAACUCUGCUCUUCCGACAACUCCAAUUCUUUCUGCACUAUCUCCUUCUCUGGGCCUUCCACAUAGUGAGCGACUUGAUCAGCCAGCACUUCUUCCACUAAUCUGUGAGAUGCCCCUACUAGACCUUCUCUCAUCACCUCAGGAGCCAAUGAGAAUACCGCCAAAAAUCUACCCCCAAGGAAGUUUCCUGUUCCAAGAAAGGGCAUAACAAAAACGUUAAUCUUUUUACCCCUCCCUCUACAACAAGCUUCUCCAGGAAUACCUGACCAUUUCGCCCUAGCAUGCUGUGUGUAGCGCCUGAAUCCAAAAGGCUUCUUAUGAACUCUCCCAUUAUAGAGAUGCCAAACACCACCGCCAUGAUCGCGAAUGUACUGCCAGUACCAUUCCCGCGCGUUUUCUGUAACCAGGUGAUAGAAUCCCUUGAGAACCUCAUCCCACGGGCAGCGACAUUGGGAUUGUAGGAAUUCAAUUCGGAACAAAAAAUCCUCGACCGUCAUUUUGUUGCUGUCCCCGUCGAACGUCACAUCCCAUUUUUCGUAUCGGCCCACCGCGGCCAAGGUCUAUAACCCGGCGGGUUUAAAUGCGGAUCUUCUCGACGAAUUUCACCAGCUCUCCUUCUCUCGCCACGACCCUGACCUGAGUGUCUACGUGCUAUCGGGUUUCGCCAAUCUCGCGCUUGAUUCUCAGCCCGUUUAUGCUGCCUACUGGAUGCGGUCGCCCCUACUCCUGAUGACGGUUCCGGACCAAUACCACCUCACCCCAAGCGAGCGAAAAAUGGCCCAUCUUCCUGGCCUGGACAGCUCCAAGUUCCUCCCGAUCUUGAUCGAAUAUCGCCCCGGACGCUUCUCCUAUCGGGUCCACUGUUUCGUUUACGCGUGAUCGCGUAUGAUACGGUCGACUACCCCCUUCUUGUGGCAUCUGCACCGAGCAACACCAAUACUACAA